AUGUGAUAGAGUUUGAGAUAAUAGAUGUAUAUGUUGAGCACAUUGUAAACAAUCAUGAAAUAAUAGAUCCAAGUGAUAUAUGUACCAACUUUGAUGAUGAUGAAGAAGUACAAUGCACUGGUGUUAAAAAUGCAAAUUAUGUUGAUGAAGAAGUGAAUAUUCAUAAUGAGCAUGUUGAAGAACGUGUAAGUCCCAUUAUUGAUGGAAAUACUGAGCUUGUUGAAGAACAUGUAAGUCCUAAUGUUGGUGGAAAUACUGAGCUUGUUGAACAAGGAAUAAAUGAAGAAUAUGUUGCAAGUGAUGAUAGUUAUGAGGAUAGUAAAUUUCAAUGUACUGAAGAGUCUGAGGAGAUGGAAUGGAUUAAAGUACUACCCCCUGAGACUCUAGGUGAGCUUUUCAAUGGCAACAAAGAGAAAGAAGCAAUUAAUAUUGAUCAAGAAAAAUGUGAAGAUUUUGACCAUUUAUAUAUCCCUCGUGAGAGUGAUGAUGAUGAUGAGGGAGUGAGGUUUCCCACUAAUAAGAUUGGUUAG
Vicia faba (fava bean) is the source of this 530-nucleotide non-coding RNA. Lineage: Eukaryota; Viridiplantae; Streptophyta; Magnoliopsida; Fabales; Fabaceae. The record is from the annotation of a GenBank genome assembly.